This 532-nucleotide ribosomal RNA is filed under the name Bifidobacterium breve. RNAcentral's name for it is "bacterial SSU rRNA". It matches the Rfam family "Bacterial small subunit ribosomal RNA", at positions 165 to 707 of the family's 1533-position model. Lineage: Bacteria; Bacillati; Actinomycetota; Actinomycetes; Bifidobacteriales; Bifidobacteriaceae. The record is from RNAcentral.
AAUGCCGGAUGCUCCAUCACACCGCAUGGUGUGUUGGGAAAGCCUUUGCGGCAUGGGAUGGGGUCGCGUCCUAUCAGCUUGAUGGCGGGGUAACGGCCCACCAUGGCUUCGACGGGUAGCCGGCCUGAGAGGGCGACCGGCCACAUUGGGACUGAGAUACGGCCCAGACUCCUACGGGAGGCAGCAGUGGGGAAUAUUGCACAAUGGGCGCAAGCCUGAUGCAGCGACGCCGCGUGAGGGAUGGAGGCCUUCGGGUUGUAAACCUCUUUUGUUAGGGAGCAAGGCAUUUUGUGUUGAGUGUACCUUUCGAAUAAGCACCGGCUAACUACGUGCCAGCAGCCGCGGUAAUACGUAGGGUGCAAGCGUUAUCCGGAAUUAUUGGGCGUAAAGGGCUCGUAGGCGGUUCGUCGCGUCCGGUGUGAAAGUCCAUCGCUUAACGGUGGAUCCGCGCCGGGUACGGGCGGGCUUGAGUGCGGUAGGGGAGACUGGAAUUCCCGGUGUAACGGUGGAAUGUGUAGAUAUCGGGAAGAAC